This 280-nucleotide long non-coding RNA is filed under the name Homo sapiens (human). Its description in RNAcentral is "non-protein coding lnc-TMEM141-1:1". The record is from RNAcentral. Lineage: Eukaryota; Metazoa; Chordata; Mammalia; Primates; Hominidae.
AAAAAAGAAAGAACUGGAGGCUGACACAGGCCAAAGAAGCAGCUCAGGCUGAAAUUGAACAGUACCACCUGCAGAGGGAGAAAGAGUUGAAAGCCAAGGAAGCUGCGGCACUGGAAUCCAUGGCACUGGCAGCACCAAAGUGGAGAAGGAGACCCAGGAGAAGAUGACCAUCCUCCAGACCUACUUUCCUCACAACAGGGAUGAAGUCUGGGAUAACCUCUUGGCUUUUGUCUGUGACAUUCAGCCAGAAAUGCAUGAAAACUACCGCAUAAAUGGAUAG